RNAcentral lists this ribosomal RNA (253 nucleotides) under uncultured bacterium. Its description in RNAcentral is "partial 16S ribosomal RNA". It matches the Rfam family "Bacterial small subunit ribosomal RNA", at positions 524 to 776 of the family's 1533-position model. The record is from RNAcentral.
UACGUAGGGUGCAAGCGUUGUCCGGAAUUAUUGGGCGUAAAGAGCUUGUAGGCGGUUUGUCGCGUCUGCUGUGAAAUUUCGGGGCUCAACCCCGAACUUGCAGUGGGUACGGGCAGACUAGAGUGUGGUAGGGGAGACUGGAAUUCCUGGUGUAGCGGUGAAAUGCGCAGAUAACAGGAGGAACACCGAUGGCGAAGGCAGGUCUCUGGGCCACUACUGACGCUGAGAAGCGAAAGCAUGGGGAGCGAACAGG